AAAGCAGAGUCUUAGUUCAAUUCAGUGGGGGUAGAAGGUACCUUAGAGAUGAUCUAAGACAACCUCAAAUCAUGACCCAGAAGAAGAGAUAUUAAUAUAUAAAUAAAUAUUCUGUACAGGCAAACCAUUCCUUAAGAGGAAAAAGAAGCUGAGAAUCAGACAUGUUAAGCAACUUGCUAAGGGUCACAAAAAUACAAAUAAAAGAGCAAAGAUUCAAACCUAGGUCCUUUGACAAAAAAUGUGGGACCCUCUCAACUGCACUAUAUGCCAGGAUCCUAGAUGGAAAAACAGUGCUCUACAGCAUGACAAGCAGAAUAUUGGACCUAGAGUCUCAGAGUUCAAAUCCCUUCUCUGAUAAUAAGUCCAUUUUUUAAAAUAGCCCAGGAAUGAAAAAUAGAGAGACAGACAGAAAACAAUCCUAUAUCAGGUAAGUUAUGUGUCUUCUGAUGGGAUAAUAUAUGAAGAGUGCUUUUUAUCUAAGAGUUAUAUAUGUAUAUACAUAUGUAUGUGUGUAUGUAUGUGUGUAUGUAUGUAUGUAUGUAAACACACAGACCUAGGACUGGGUCAGUAGGGUAAGGGAUGAUGCUACCAGAUGGUUUCUGAGCGCAACACUUCAAUAAGCUCAUAUGAUGUGAGCUAUUUCACCACCUGGGUAGAUUUCCCCAUCAAUUUAUACUUUCUCAUUAUGGGCAACUUGUGCCCUUUGCUUACUUAUAUUUCCCUAUAGAGGAUCUUCUUUAGCUCUGUCACUGAUGGAUACCAGAAAAUCAUUUGGAAUCUUUAUUUGGGGCCAUAGAUUUAGUGAGGCUCCUUCAAGGUCAUAAAUGCUAAAGUGGAUAGAAUAAAUGGCCUUAGAGUCAGGAAGACUCA
Molecule: long non-coding RNA, 870 nt
Filed under: Monodelphis domestica (gray short-tailed opossum)
Lineage: Eukaryota; Metazoa; Chordata; Mammalia; Didelphimorphia; Didelphidae
Description: lncRNA (ENSMODG00000037811.1)
Source: RNAcentral